RNAcentral lists this ribosomal RNA (301 nucleotides) under uncultured bacterium. RNAcentral describes it as "partial 16S ribosomal RNA". It matches the Rfam family "Bacterial small subunit ribosomal RNA", at positions 509 to 807 of the family's 1533-position model. The record is from RNAcentral.
CAGUCGCCGCGGUAAUACGAAGGGUGCAAGCGUUAAUCGGAAUUACUGGGCGUAAAGCGUGCGCAGGCGGUUGUGUAAGACAGGUGUGAAAUCCCCGGGCUUAACCUGGGAACUGCGCUUGUGACUGCACAGCUAGAGUAUGGCAGAGGGGGGUGGAAUUCCACGUGUAGCAGUGAAAUGCGUAGAGAUGUGGAGGAACACCGAUGGCGAAGGCAGCCCCCUGGGCCAAUACUGACGCUCAUGCACGAAAGCGUGGGGAGCAAACAGGAUUAGAUACCCCGGUAGUCCCUGUCUCUUAUAC